AGAGUUUGAUCCUGGCUCAGAAUCAACGCUGGCGGCGUGCCUAACACAUGCAAGUCGAACGAGAAAGGGACUUCGGUCCUGAGUACAGUGGCGCACGAGUGAGUAACACGUGACUAACCUACCCUUGAGUGGGGGAUAACUUCGGGAAACCGAGGCUAAUACCGCAUAAUACCUACGGGUCAAAGGAGCAAUUCGCUUAAGGAGGGGGUCGCGGUCGAUUAGUUAGUUGGUAGGGUAAUGGCCUACCAAGACUGUGAUCGAUAUCCGGCCUGAGAGGGCGCACGGACACACUGGAACUGAAACACGGUCCAGACUCCUACGGGAGGCAGCAGUGGGGAAUUUUGCGCAAUGGGGGAAACCCUGACGCAGCAACGCCGCGUGGAGGAUGAAGUCUCUUGGGACGUAAACUCCUUUCGACCGGGACGAUAAUGACGGUACCGGAAGAAGAAGCCCCGGCUAACUUCGUGCCAGCAGCCGCGGUAAUACGAGGGGGGCGAGCGUUGUUCGGAAUUAUUGGGCGUAAAGGGUGCGUAGGCGGUCCGGCAAGUCUUGUGUGAAAUCUUCAGGCUCAACUUGAAGUCUGCAUAAGAAACUGCCGGGCUUGAGUAUGGGAGAGGUGAGUGGAAUUUCCGGUGUAGCGGUGAAAUGCGUAGAUAUCGGAAGGAACACCUGUGGCGAAAGCGGCUCACUGGACCAUAACUGACGCUGAGGCACGAAAGCUAGGGGAGCAAACAGGAUUAGAUACCCUGGUAGUCC
Molecule: ribosomal RNA, 756 nt
Filed under: uncultured bacterium
Lineage: Bacteria
Description: bacterial SSU rRNA
Rfam family: Bacterial small subunit ribosomal RNA
Source: RNAcentral